Molecule: long non-coding RNA, 964 nt
Filed under: Capra hircus (goat)
Lineage: Eukaryota; Metazoa; Chordata; Mammalia; Artiodactyla; Bovidae
Description: lncRNA (ENSCHIG00010011941.1)
Source: RNAcentral
UCACUGCCCCCUAGCGCGGCGAGCCUGGAACCCUCGCUAGCAAGUACGUUAACACUGUCAAGAUCACUGUGAAGAAUGGGACCUGAACUCUUCCUUUUUCCAGACACCACCCAUCUCCUUCCUUUUACAGCUGUGGUUUGUUUUUGAAGGUGACGCCAAGCUGGACCCUGUGGGGCUCCCGGGUAAUAUCAGAAAAGAGGUUUCAACAUGAAGAAGGGAAAACAAGUGUUGGCAAGAAUGUGGAGACAUUAGAAACUUCAUAUGUUGCUGAUAGGAACAUGAAAUGGUGUGGCUACUUUAGAAAACAGCCUGGCAGUUCCUCAAAGUCUCCAGCAGGAGAGUCAGCGUGACCCAGCGGUUCCUCUCCUAGGCAUGCAGAGAGCAUGCUCACAGCAAGGCCUGGACAGAAAUGUGCAUGCAGCACUAUCUACAGCAGCCAAAAUCAGAAACCUGGGUCCCUUCCUGACUGACGGAUAAGCCAAGUGUGGUGAGUGACUCUGGUGGAACACUCGCCACACCAAUCAGUGAAGGAGUGCCAUAUGUCACAACGCGGAUGAGCCUUGAAAACACUAUGCUGAGUGACAGAGUGAGCGAGCGAAGUCGCUCAGUCGUGUCCAGCUCUUUGCAACCCCGUGGACUGUAGCCUGCCAGGUCCCUCCAUCCAUGGGAUUUUCCCGACAAGCAUACUGGAGUGCGUUGCCAUUUCCUUCUCCAGGGGAUCUUCCCGACCAGAUACAGAAGGACACAUAGCCCACUUACACUGAAUGUCCAGAACAGGCAAAUCCAUUGAGACAGAAAAGAGAUUAGUGGCUGUAAAGGGCUGGGGCAGGGACAGGAAUGGGAAGCGACUGCUGAUAGCCACAGGUUUCUCUGGGGGGUGAUAAAGAUGUUCUGGAAUUAGUGGUGAUGAUUGCGUAACCUUGUGAAUAUAUUAAAAAGUACCGAAUUAUACUUCACGAGGGUG